UGGGGAAUAUUGCACAAUGGGGGAAACCCUGAUGCAGCGACGCCGCGUGAGCGAAGAAGGUUUUCGAAUCGUAAGCUCUGUCCUAUGAGAAGAUAAUGACGGUAUCAUAGGAGGAAGCCCCGGCUAAAUACGUGCCAGCAGCCGCGGUAAUACGUAUGGGGCGAGCGUUGUCCGGAAUUAUUGGGCGUAAAGGGUACGUAGGCGGUCUAUUAAGUCAGGUGUGAAAGCGUGAGGCUUAACCUCAUUAAGCACUUGAAACUGAUAGACUUGAGUGAAGGAGAGGAAAGUGGAAUUCCUAGUGUAGCGGUGAAAUGCGUAGAUAUUAGGAGGAAUACCGGUGGCGAAGGCGACUUUCUGGACUUUUACUGACGCUCAGGUACGAAAGCGUGGGGAGCAAACAGG
This 402-nucleotide ribosomal RNA is filed under the name Verrucomicrobiota bacterium. RNAcentral's name for it is "Verrucomicrobia bacterium partial 16S ribosomal RNA". It matches the Rfam family "Bacterial small subunit ribosomal RNA", at positions 355 to 776 of the family's 1533-position model. Lineage: Bacteria; Pseudomonadati; Verrucomicrobiota. The record is from RNAcentral.